AGAGUUUGAUCCUGGCUCAGAUUGAACGCUGGCGGCAUGCCUAACACAUGCAAGUCGAACGGAAACGAUGCUAGCUUGCUAGCAGGCGUCGAGUGGCGGACGGGUGAGUAAUAUAUAGGGAUCUGCCUAAUAGUGGGGGACAACGUGUGGAAACGCACGCUAAUACCGCAUACGCUCUAUGGAGGAAAGUGGGGGAUCUUCGGACCUCAUGCUAUUAGAUGAACCUAUAUCGGAUUAGCUUGUUGGUGAGGUAAUGGCUCACCAAGGCGACGAUCCGUAGCUGGUUUGAGAGAAUGAUCAGCCACACUGGGACUGAGACACGGCCCAGACUCCUACGGGAGGCAGCAGUGGGGAAUAUUGCACAAUGGACGAAAGUCUGAUGCAGCAAUGCCGCGUGUGUGAAGAAGGCCUUCGGGUUGUAARSCAYYUUCAGGAGUGUGAGGAAAAGCCAMCCUUGUUAAUACUAGGUUGCCGGUGACGUUAACAUCAGAAGAAGGACCGGCUAACUCCGUGCCAGCAGCCGCGGUAAUACGGAGGGUCCAAGCGUUAAUCGGAAUUACUGGGCGUAAAGCGCGCGUAGGCGGAUAAUUAAGUCAGAUGUGAAAUCCCUGGGCUCAACCUAGGAACUGCAUUUGAUACUGGUUAUCUAGAGUAUGGUAGAGGUGAGUGGAAUUUCAGGUGUAGCGGUGAAAUGCGUAGAGAUCUGAAGGAACAUCAGUGGCGAAGGCGACUCACUGGGCCAUUACUGACGCUGAGGUGCGAAAGCGUGGGUAGCAAACAGGAUUAGAUACCCUGGUAGUCCACGCCCUAAACGAUGUCAACUAGGUGUGUGAGAGUCUAACUCUUGCGUAUCGAAGCUAACGCGAUAAGUUGACCGCCUGGGGAGUACGGUCGCAAGACUAAAACUCAAAUGAAUUGACGGGGGCCCGCACAAGCGGUGGAGCAUGUGGUUUAAUUCGAUGCAACGCGAAGAACCUUACCUGGCCUUGACAUGUAGUGAACUUACCAGAGAUGGUUUGGUGCYUUCGGGAACACUAACACAGGUGCUGCAUGGCUGUCGUCAGCUCGUGUCGUGAGAAUGUUGGGKURAGUCCCGCAACGAGCGCAACCCCUGUCCUUAGUUGCCAUCAUUUAGUUGGGCACUCUAAGGAGACUGCCGGUGACAAACCGGAGGAAGGUGGGGAUGACGUCAAGUCAUCAUGGCCCUUAUGGCCAGGGCUACACACGUGCUACAAUGGCUAGUACAAAGGGUUGCCAACUCGCGAGAGUGAGCUAAUCCCAUAAAGCUAGUCGUAGUCCGGAUUGGAGUCUGCAACUCGACUCCAUGAAGUCGGAAUCGCUAGUAAUCGCGGAUCAGAAUGCCGCGGUGAAUACGUUCCCGGGCCUUGUACACACCGCCCGUCACACCAUGGGAGUGGGUUGCAAAAGAAGUGGGUAGACUAACCUUCGGGAGGUCGCUCACCACUUUGUGAUUCAUGACUGGGGUGAAGUCGUAACAAGGUAACC
RNAcentral lists this ribosomal RNA (1506 nucleotides) under uncultured bacterium. Its description in RNAcentral is "bacterial SSU rRNA". It matches the Rfam family "Bacterial small subunit ribosomal RNA". The record is from RNAcentral.